This 83-nucleotide non-coding RNA is filed under the name uncultured Blautia sp. RNAcentral's name for it is "S10-Clostridia ribosomal protein leader". It matches the Rfam family "S10-Clostridia ribosomal protein leader". Lineage: Bacteria; Bacillati; Bacillota; Clostridia; Lachnospirales; Lachnospiraceae. The record is from RNAcentral.
UGAUAGCUGUGAAGCGUGAGGUUGCUGCCUUUACAUGGCAGGUUUUCCGUGGAGCGAAUGUCAAGUUAGGAAACUGACGACAA